This 253-nucleotide ribosomal RNA is filed under the name uncultured bacterium. RNAcentral's name for it is "partial 16S ribosomal RNA". It matches the Rfam family "Bacterial small subunit ribosomal RNA", at positions 524 to 776 of the family's 1533-position model. The record is from RNAcentral.
UACGGAGGAUGCAAGCGUUAUCCGGGAUGAUUGGGCGUAAAGGGUCCGCAGGUGGCCCUGUGAGUCUGCUGUUAAAGAGUGAGGCUUAACCUCAUAAAAGCAGUGGAAACUACAGAGCUAGAGUGCGUUCGGGGUAGCAGGAAUUCCUGGUGUAGCGGUGAAAUGCGUAGAGAUCAGGAAGAACACCGGUGGCGAAAGCGUGCUACUAGGCCGUAACUGACACUGAGGGACGAAAGCUAGGGGAGCGAAUGGC